RNAcentral lists this ribosomal RNA (250 nucleotides) under uncultured Mycoplasma sp. Its description in RNAcentral is "partial 16S ribosomal RNA". It matches the Rfam family "Bacterial small subunit ribosomal RNA", at positions 524 to 774 of the family's 1533-position model. The record is from RNAcentral. Lineage: Bacteria; Bacillati; Mycoplasmatota; Mollicutes; Mycoplasmatales; Mycoplasmataceae.
UACAUAGGUCGCAAGCGUUAUCCGGAAUUAUUGGGCGUAAAGCGUUCGUAGGCUGUUUGUUAAGUCUGGAGUUAAAUCCCGGGGCUCAACCCCGGCUCGCUUUGGAUACUAGCAAACUAGAGUUAGAUAGAGGUAAGCGGAAUUCCAUGUGAAGCGGUGAAAUGCGUAGAUAUAUGGAAGAACACCAAAGGCGAAGGCAGCUUACUGGGUCUAUACUGACGCUGAGGGACGAAAGCGUGGGGAGCAAACA